This 47-nucleotide ribosomal RNA is filed under the name Marasmius haematocephalus. Its description in RNAcentral is "partial large subunit ribosomal RNA". The record is from RNAcentral. Lineage: Eukaryota; Fungi; Basidiomycota; Agaricomycetes; Agaricales; Marasmiaceae.
UUUGACCUCAAAUCAGGUAGGGCUACCCGCUGAACUUAAGCAUAUCA